Molecule: ribosomal RNA, 253 nt
Filed under: uncultured bacterium
Lineage: Bacteria
Description: partial 16S ribosomal RNA
Rfam family: Bacterial small subunit ribosomal RNA
Source: RNAcentral
UACGUAGGGGGCUAGCGUUGUCCGGAAUCAUUGGGCGUAAAGCGCGUGUAGGCGGUCCGGUAAGUCCGCUGUGAAAGUCGAGGGCUCAACCCUCGAAUGCCGGUGGAUACUGUCGGGCUAGAGUACGGAAGAGGCGAGUGGAAUUCCUGGUGUAGCGGUGGAAUGCGCAGAUAUCAGGAGGAACACCAAUAGCGAAGGCAGCUCGCUGGGACGUUACUGACACUGAGGCGCGAAAGCGUGGGGAGCGAACAGG